ACCAAGGCUAUGACGCUUAACUGGUCUGAGAGGAUGAUCAGUCACACUGGAACUGAGACACGGUCCAGACUCCUACGGGAGGCAGCAGUAGGGAAUAUUGCGCAAUGGGGGAAACCCUGACGCAGCAACGCCGCGUGGAGGAUGACACUUUUCGGAGCGUAAACUCCUUUUCUUAGGGAAGAAUUCUGACGGUACCUAAGGAAUAAGCACCGGCUAACUCCGUGCCAGCAGCCGCGGUAAUACGGAGGGUGCAAGCGUUACUCGGAAUCACUGGGCGUAAAGGGCGCGUAGGCGGAUUAUCAAGUCUCUUGUGAAAUCUAAUGGCUUAACCAUUAAACUGCUUGGGAAACUGAUAGUCUAGAGUGAGGGAGAGGCAGAUGGAAUUGGUGGUGUAGGGGUAAAAUCCGUAGAUAUCACCAAGAAUACCCAUUGCGAAGGCGAUCUGCUGGAACUCAACUGACGCUAAGGCGCGAAAGCGUGGGGAGCAAACAGGAUUAGAUACCCUGGUAGUCCACGCCCUAAACGAUGUACACUAGUUGUUGGGGUGCUAGUCAUCUCAGUAAUGCAGCUAACGCAUUAAGUGUACCGCCUGGGGAGUACGGUCGCAAGAUUAAAACUCAAAGGAAUAGACGGGGACCCGCACAAGCGGUGGAGCAUGUGGUUUAAUUCGAGGAUACGCGAAGAACCUUACCUGGGCUUGAUAUCCUAAGAACCUUUUAGAGAUAAGAGGGUGCUAGCUUGCUAGAACUUAGAGACAGGUGCUGCACGGCUGUCGUCAGCUCGUGUCGUGAGAUGUUGGGUUAAGUCCCGCAACGAGCGCAACCCACGUAUUUAGUUGCUAACGGUUCGGCCGAGCACUCUAAAUAGACUGCCUUCGUAAGGAGGAGGAAGGUGUGGACGACGUCAAGUCAUCAUGGCCCUUAUGCCCAGGGCGACACACGUGCUACAAUGGCAUAUACAAUGAGACGCAAUACCGCGAGGUGGAGCAAAUCUAUAAAAUAUGUCCCAGUUCGGAUUGUUCUCUGCAACUCGAGAGCAUGAAGCCGGAAUCGCUAGUAAUCGUAGAUCAGCCAUGCUACGGUGAAUACGUUCCCGGGUCUUGUACUCACCGCCCGUCACACCAUGGGAGUUGAUUUCACUCGAAGCCGGAAUACUAAACUAGUUACCGUCCACAGUGGAAUCAGCGACUGGGGUGAAGUCGUAACAAGGUAACCGUAGGAGAACCUGCGGUUGGAUCACCUCCUUUCUA
This 1249-nucleotide ribosomal RNA is filed under the name Campylobacter jejuni. Its description in RNAcentral is "bacterial SSU rRNA". It matches the Rfam family "Bacterial small subunit ribosomal RNA", at positions 267 to 1533 of the family's 1533-position model. The record is from RNAcentral. Lineage: Bacteria; Pseudomonadati; Campylobacterota; Epsilonproteobacteria; Campylobacterales; Campylobacteraceae.